GAGCUUGCUCUUAUGAAGUUAGCGGCGGACGGGUGAGUAACACGUGGGUAACCUGCCCAUAAGACUGGGAUAACUCCGGGAAACCGGGGCUAAUACCGGAUAACAUUUUGAACCGCAUGGUUCGAAAUUGAAAGGCGGCUUCGGCUGUCACUUAUGGAUGGACCCGCGUCGCAUUAGCUAGUUGGUGAGGUAACGGCUCACCAAGGCAACGAUGCGUAGCCGACCUGAGAGGGUGAUCGGCCACACUGGGACUGAGACACGGCCCAGACUCCUACGGGAGGCAGCAGUAGGGAAUCUUCCGCAAUGGACGAAAGUCUGACGGAGCAACGCCGCGUGAGUGAUGAAGGCUUUCGGGUCGUAAAACUCUGUUGUUAGGGAAGAACAAGUGCUAGUUGAAUAAGCUGGCACCUUGACGGUACCUAACCAGAAAGCCACGGCUAACUACGUGCCAGCAGCCGCGGUAAUACGUAGGUGGCAAGCGUUAUCCGGAAUUAUUGGGCGUAAAGCGCGCGCAGGUGGUUUCUUAAGUCUGAUGUGAAAGCCCACGGCUCACCCGUGGAGGGUCAUUGGAAACUGGGAGACUUGAGUGCAGAAGAGGAAAGUGGAAUUCCAUGUGUAGCGGUGAAAUGCGUAGAGAUAUGGAGGAACACCAGUGGCGAAGGCGACUUUCUGGUCUGUAACUGACACUGAGGCGCGAAAGCGUGGGGAGCAAACAGGAUUAGAU
This 724-nucleotide ribosomal RNA is filed under the name Bacillus tropicus. RNAcentral describes it as "bacterial SSU rRNA". It matches the Rfam family "Bacterial small subunit ribosomal RNA", at positions 76 to 783 of the family's 1533-position model. Lineage: Bacteria; Bacillati; Bacillota; Bacilli; Caryophanales; Bacillaceae. The record is from RNAcentral.